UACGUAGGGGGCAAGCGUUGUCCGGAAUCAUUGGGCGUAAAGAGCGCGUAGGCGGUCCGGUAAGUCCGCUCUGAAAGUCCGGGGCUCAACCCCGGGAGGCGGGCGGAUACUGUCGGGCUAGAGUCCGGAAGAGGCGAGUGGAAUUCCUGGUGUAGCGGUGAAAUGCGCAGAUAUCAGGAGGAACACCGAUGGCGAAGGCAGCUCGCUGGGACGGUACUGACGCUGAGGCGCGAAAGCGUGGGAGCAAACAGG
RNAcentral lists this ribosomal RNA (252 nucleotides) under uncultured bacterium. RNAcentral's name for it is "partial 16S ribosomal RNA". It matches the Rfam family "Bacterial small subunit ribosomal RNA", at positions 524 to 776 of the family's 1533-position model. The record is from RNAcentral.